AACAGCUCAAAUUUGAAAUCUGGCCCCUCGGGGUCCGAGUUGUAAUUUGUAGAGGAUGCUUUUGGUGAGGUGCCGCCCGAGUUCCCUGGAACGGGACGCCACAGAGGGUGAGAGCCCCGUCUGGCUGGCCACCGAGCCUCUGUAAAGCUCCUUCGACGAGUCGAGUAGUUUGGGAAUGCUGCUCAAAAUGGGAGGUAUAUGUCUUCUAAAGCUAAAUAUUGGCCAGAGACCGAUAGCGCACAAGUAGAGUGAUCGAAAGAUGAAAAGCACCUUGAAAAGAGGGUUAAAUAGUACGUGAAAUUGUUGAAAGGGAAGCGCUUGUGACCAGACUUGGGCGCGGCGGAUCAUCCGGGGUUCUCUCCGGUGCACUUCGCCGCGUCUAGGCCAGCAUCAGUUCGUCGCGGGGGAAAAAGGUUUCGGGAACGUGGCUCCUCCGGGAGUGUUAUAGCCCGUUGCAUAAUACCCUGCGGUGGACUGAGGACCGCGCAUCUGCAAGGAUGCUGGCGUAAUGGUCACCAGCGACCCGUCUUGAAACACGGACCAAGGAGUCGUCUUCGUAUGCGAGUGUUCGGGUGUCAAACCCCUACGCGUAAUGAAAGUGAACGCAGGUGAGAGCUUCGGCGCAUCAUCGACCGAUCCUGAUGUUCUCGGAUGGAUUUGAGUAAGAGCAUACGGGGCCGGACCCGAAAGAAGGUGAACUAUGCCUGUAUAGGGUGAAGCCAGAGGAAACUCUGGUGGAGGCUCGCAGCGGUUCUGACGUGCAAAUCGAUCGUCAAAUAUGGGCAUGGGGGCGAAAGACUAAUCGAACCUUCUAGUAGCUGGUUUCCGCCGAAGUUUCCCUCAGGAUAGCAGUGUUGAGCUCAGUUUUAUGAGGUAAAGCGAAUGAUUAGGGACCCGGGGGCGCUAUAUUGCCUUCAUCCAUUCUCAAACUUUAAAUAUGUAAGAAGCCCUUGUUACUUAGUUGAACGUGGGCAUUCGAAUGUAUCAACACUAGUGGGCCAUUUUUGGUAAGCAGAACUGGCGAUGCGGGAUGAACCGAACGCGAGGUUAAGGUGCCAGAGUAGACGCUCAUCAGACACCACAAAAGGCGUUAGUACAUCUUGACAGCAGGACGGUGGCCAUGGAAGUCGGAAUCCGCUAAGGACUGUGUAACAACUCACCUGCCGAAUGUACUAGCCCUGAAAAUGGAUGGCGCUCAAGCGUCUCACCCAUACCUCGCCCUCG
RNAcentral lists this ribosomal RNA (1224 nucleotides) under fungal sp. RNAcentral's name for it is "eukaryotic LSU rRNA". It matches the Rfam family "Eukaryotic large subunit ribosomal RNA", at positions 103 to 1357 of the family's 3401-position model. The record is from RNAcentral. Lineage: Eukaryota; Fungi.